GGAUGUAAGGGCGAUCUGGCUGCGACAUCUGUCACCCCAUUGAUCUCCAGGGUUGAUUCAGCUGAUCAGGAUGGCUAAGCGGGUGUCCCCUUCCUCCCUCACCGCUCUAUGUGCGCCCCUCCCAAAGCUGUGCGCUCAGUGGAAGAGGACGGCCUUCCCAAAUAGAGACAGACCGGUCUUUGGUCGAGGGUCUACGAGUAGCUGCACUCCCCUGCUAGAACCUCCAAACAAGCUCUCAUUCUGCAAGUACUAACCCCCAGCAAUAAGCCUGGUGGCAAUAAAAAAAUUUUAUUAAGUAAAAUAAUU
Erinaceus europaeus (western European hedgehog) is the source of this 306-nucleotide unclassified non-coding RNA. Its record names the gene 7SK. It matches the Rfam family "7SK RNA". Rfam says of the family: 7SK was discovered as an abundant small nuclear RNA in the mid-70s but a possible function has only recently been suggested. Two independent studies have found that 7SK RNA binds the CDK9/cyclin T complex (known as elongation factor P-TEFb). P-TEFb activates transcription by phosphorylating the C-terminal domain of RNA polymerase II. NCBI's taxonomy places the organism in Eukaryota, Metazoa, Chordata, Mammalia, Eulipotyphla, Erinaceidae. The record is from Ensembl.